GAAAAAAAACGAAAUUUUUUUUUGCAAAGAAAUACAAUCGAAAAAAAAUGGAAAACCACAAUCGAUCGUCAUCACGAUAUGAGCUCCAUUAGUCAUCAUCAUCAUCAUCAAAUUUUGAUAUCAUCGAAAAAAGAAAAUCGAAAUAAAAAUGAUAAUAUAAUACCACAAACACAAAAGGUUUCUACGUAUGUACUUUCUAUCGAUGGUGUGUGUGUGUGUGUGUGUGUGUGCACCUGAUAUUAUCGAAAUUAUCGAAAUCGAAACCGUUGAAUGACAAAAGAAGAAAAAACCGGUAGACACCAGAAAGAUACCACAAAGAAAGAAAAAAUCUAAAAAAGAACCAACAAUUCUCAUCUGUCACACACACACACACACCUACAGAUAGAAUUGAAUCUUGAAUUUGCAAGAAUUUUUUUUUUUUUUGUUUUUGUUUCAUCAUAUUCGACCAUCGUCAUCAUCAUUAUAAAUUUGUGUGAUAUUCAUUGUUUUGUUCUUCAUUCUAAUUACAUAUGUGUAUGAUUUCAAAUUCAAUCAAUUUUUUAUUAUUACAAUUUAAUUUUCAACAAUUUAAAGUCUUCAUUCAUCUUUUACUAUGUUGAACAUUUCAAAUGAAAAACAAAAUUAAAAUGAAAACUUUCAUCACCCGUCGUCGUCUUCUGCCAUACAACAAUGACAGCAACAACAAGACACCAUCAAAAAAAAAAAAAAAAAAAAUUACCACUACAACCACCAAUGUCAUACUGCACACAAAGAAUGAUGGUGUAUGUGGGAAAAAAAACAUUUUCCAAACGAAUGAAUCCCAUUCGAAAAAUGAUAAUAGAAUAGAAUGAAAUAACAAUUUCCAUUGAAAUGGAAAUUUCGACAGAAAAAUAAACAAACAUAAUAAUCAAAUCAAAUCCAGGAUCGAACCACCAAGGAUACAGCGACCGAUAAACAAACAAACAGAAAAAAAAUCCAAAUUUGAAUCGUAUCCGAAACGAGGACAACAACAGCCGAGAAUCAUAAAAAAAAGAGAAUUACAGGUUUUAUUCUUGCACACCGAUUAAUUUUCUACAAAUCGACAAUUUUCUCCUCUCUAUUCUCAUUGACAUUUCGAUCUCAUCAUCAUCAUCAUCAACAGCAAUAUUUUUUGUUGACAAAUAAUUGGGAUUUUCUUCUUCGGUUUCAAAUGUAUGGCGAAAUUAUGUGAAAAUAAAACAAAAAACAUUUCCGUCAUGGAUUAUGAUGUGUCGACGGAAAUUCUCUUGUGUAUUGUUUGAAAUAAAGAAAGAAAAAAAAAAAAUAUUUCGGAAAAAUUUCAAUUUUUUUCCAGAAAACAACAACAACAACAGAAACAAUCAAAACUUGAAAUCGGAAAAUUCAUUUCAUUCCUUUUGCCCUGUCCUGGUUAAUCAAAAAUGAGAAAAAAUUCAACACUAAAAAGUUUUGAAUUUCUGAACUUUUAUUUUUUUCCAGUCAAAUAAUAAUGGAAAAAUGGUUGGCAUUGGCCAGAAUCAUUGCAUUUGCACAAACAUCUACUAUACUACCUUGAACUGCUACCAGUUUUUUUUUGUUGUUACUGUUGCUGUUGUUCACCUUGAUUAUCGGCAAAUAACAGACGACGAAUUUCAUUUUACCUAUGUAAUAUGUGUGUGUGUGUACUCCUGGAUAAGAAUAUUCUAUGCAACAACGACGGCGCAUUUCUCGUUACGACCAGAAACGACCAAACGAAAAAAUAAAAAUAGAAAUAAAAACGAAACAAGAUUUCGAUAUUUUAUGUUCGAUUCUUUCGAGAAAAUUUUUUUUUUUCAACAUCAUUCUCAACAAUUCACACUGUCAUUGAUUCUGUAUUUAUCCGAAUUUAUUGCCCGACAGCCGUAAAAGUUUAAAAUACUUUUUUUUUC
Molecule: non-coding RNA, 1883 nt
Organism: Dermatophagoides farinae (American house dust mite)
Lineage: Eukaryota; Metazoa; Arthropoda; Arachnida; Sarcoptiformes; Pyroglyphidae
Source: RefSeq, a predicted model, not a curated record